This 526-nucleotide ribosomal RNA is filed under the name Bifidobacterium bifidum. RNAcentral's name for it is "bacterial SSU rRNA". It matches the Rfam family "Bacterial small subunit ribosomal RNA", at positions 160 to 698 of the family's 1533-position model. The record is from RNAcentral. Lineage: Bacteria; Bacillati; Actinomycetota; Actinomycetes; Bifidobacteriales; Bifidobacteriaceae.
GUGGUAAUGCCGGAUGUUCCACAUGAUCGCAUGUGAUUGUGGGAAAGAUUCUAUCGGCGUGGGAUGGGGUCGCGUCCUAUCAGCUUGUUGGUGAGGUAACGGCUCACCAAGGCUUCGACGGGUAGCCGGCCUGAGAGGGCGACCGGCCACAUUGGGACUGAGAUACGGCCCAGACUCCUACGGGAGGCAGCAGUGGGGAAUAUUGCACAAUGGGCGCAAGCCUGAUGCAGCGACGCCGCGUGAGGGAUGGAGGCCUUCGGGUUGUAAACCUCUUUUGUUUGGGAGCAAGCCUUCGGGUGAGUGUACCUUUCGAAUAAGCGCCGGCUAACUACGUGCCAGCAGCCGCGGUAAUACGUAGGGCGCAAGCGUUAUCCGGAUUUAUUGGGCGUAAAGGGCUCGUAGGCGGCUCGUCGCGUCCGGUGUGAAAGUCCAUCGCUUAACGGUGGAUCUGCGCCGGGUACGGGCGGGCUGGAGUGCGGUAGGGGAGACUGGAAUUCCCGGUGUAACGGUGGAAUGUGUAGAUAUC